GCGAGUGAAGCGGGAAGAGCUCAAAUUUGUAAUCUGGCGUCUUUCAGGCGUCCGAGUUGUAAUCUAUAGAAGUGUUUUCCGUGCUGGACCAUGUCCAAGUCCCUUGGAACAGGGUAUCAAAGAGGGUGACAAUCCCGUACUUGACAUGACCACCAGUGCUCUGUGAUACACUCUCUACGAGUCGAGUUGUUUGGGAAUGCAGCUCAAAAUGGGUGGUAAAUUCCAUCUAAAGCUAAAUAUUGGCGAGAGACCGAUAGCGAACAAGUACCGUGAGGGAAAGAUGAAAAGCACUUUGGAAAGAGAGUUAAACAGUACGUGAAAUUGUUGAAAGGGAAACGAUUGAAGUCAGUCGUGUUCAUUGGACUCAGCCGGUUUUCGGUGUAUUUCCUUUGAACGGGUCAACAUCAGUUUUGUCCGGUGGAUAAAGGCAGGAAGAAAGUGGCUCCCUCGGGAGUGUUAUAGCUUUCUGUCACAUACACUGGAGGAGACUGAGGACUGCAGCUCGCCUUUUGGCCGGGGUUCGCCCACGUUCGAGCUUAGGAUGUUGACAUAAUGGCUUUAAACGACCC
Molecule: ribosomal RNA, 569 nt
Filed under: Vanrija humicola
Lineage: Eukaryota; Fungi; Basidiomycota; Tremellomycetes; Trichosporonales; Trichosporonaceae
Description: eukaryotic LSU rRNA
Rfam family: Eukaryotic large subunit ribosomal RNA
Source: RNAcentral